UCUUCGGAUUGUAAGCCCUUGCGGCGGGGACGAUGGUGACGGUACCCGCAGAAGAAGCUGCGGCCAACUUCGUGCCAGCAGCCGCGGUAAUACGAAGGGGGCUAGCGUUGCUCGGAAUCACUGGGCGUAAAGGGCGCGUAGGCGGCGGACUUAGUCGGGCGUGAAAUCCCCGGGCUCAACCCGGGGGCUGCGCCCGAUACGGGUGCGCUUGAGGGCGGGAGAGGCU
This 226-nucleotide ribosomal RNA is filed under the name uncultured bacterium. RNAcentral's name for it is "partial 16S ribosomal RNA". It matches the Rfam family "Bacterial small subunit ribosomal RNA", at positions 415 to 659 of the family's 1533-position model. The record is from RNAcentral.